UCGGCCCAGCUGUCACAGUAAUGGAUACACUCUCUCGCACAUGCUCCGGGGGGGUGUCUAAUGCCCGACCCCCCUCUGAAGCCUCUAUUUGCACAUCUUAAACCACUUAUUGGAUUUGUACAGGAUUUUUCAGCCUGAGUGCCAUCUCUGUGUUCACGUGUGUGACAUGUAUAAAUCCUGGCUUUGCAUGUCAUUCACCAAACCAUGGUCAGAAGGUUCCAGAUUCCCAGGCAGCCAGAAGCCUGCUGCCAUUCACGGCUGGAUGUUCCAUGGGCCCAUUGGCUCUGGGCCUCUGUCUUCUUAGUGGAGAGCUCCCUCCUCACGCUCGGCCUGUCCCCAAGGACGCUGGGUCAGCCCCUCUCACAACCUUGUCCUUGAUACUCGUCUCCAUGAAAGGUUACAGCACUUCCCUGCUGGAUGCGCCAUCGAGUCUUGUUUACUGUAACCAGAAGAGAGAAUUUCCAAACAAGCCCUGGUUGUUGACAGCACUCGGAGAAGCAUGUGGCCUGCCAUCCCGGUCUCUGUCAAGCCCGGGCCCCACCUGCCUCCUGGCUCUGGCUUACACUGGUGAGUUUGGCCACAACGCAAGUGUGAGAGCAUGAGAGUGUGAGAUGCCGCAGGCCAGGUGACAUGCCAGUGCCGCAGCGCGGGUAGAUGGCAGGGCAUCUUUGUGUACAUACAAAGGCCACAUGCCACACCAAAAUGUGGCAGCCACUUCUCCCAAAUCAAAUGGAUAAUAUUUCUUUCAUUAUGUUCUCACAAACGUGUUGUAAAACAAUAAGACUUGAGCUACACUAAGUCCAUAUUUCGGGAUUUCAAAUGAAUGGCAAGUGAAUAUUCAUGUUUAUCUCUGAGUUGAUUGACAGGUAGGACUUAAAAAAAAAAAUGUUUGCCCUGAUCAGGUGGUUCGGUUGGUUGGAAUGUCCUCCUGCAUACCCAAGAGGCUUGC
This is a long non-coding RNA of Pipistrellus kuhlii (Kuhl's pipistrelle), 949 nucleotides long. RefSeq lists it as uncharacterized. The transcript is spliced from 3 exons. The record is from RefSeq and is a predicted model, not a curated record. NCBI's taxonomy places the organism in Eukaryota, Metazoa, Chordata, Mammalia, Chiroptera, Vespertilionidae.